This 253-nucleotide ribosomal RNA is filed under the name Actinomycetes bacterium. Its description in RNAcentral is "partial 16S ribosomal RNA". It matches the Rfam family "Bacterial small subunit ribosomal RNA", at positions 524 to 776 of the family's 1533-position model. The record is from RNAcentral. RNAcentral also lists the same sequence under 1 other name. Lineage: Bacteria; Bacillati; Actinomycetota; Actinomycetes.
GACGUAGGAGGCGAGCGUUGUCCGGAUUCAUUGGGCGUAAAGAGCACGCAGGCGGUUUGGCAAGUCGGAUGUGAAAACCCGGAGCUCAACUCCGGGCGUGCAUCCGAUACUGCCCGACUAGAGGUAGGUAGGGGAGAUCGGAAUUCCUGGUGUAGCGGUGAAAUGCGCAGAUAUCAGGAGGAACACCGGUGGCGAAGGCGGAUCUCUGGGCCUUACCUGACGCUCAGGUGCGAAAGCUAGGGGAGCGAACAGG